Molecule: RNA transcript, 6256 nt
Organism: Betta splendens (Siamese fighting fish)
Lineage: Eukaryota; Metazoa; Chordata; Actinopteri; Anabantiformes; Osphronemidae
Exons: 8
Source: RefSeq, a predicted model, not a curated record
GCUGCUGAACAGCCGAGAGCCAACGCGGGAGAAGGAGGGAGGCCAGUGUUUACUUUGGUUGCCAUGAACACCGCUUCCCAUAAAGCUUUGCGAAGCACGUGGGGCGAGCACGCGCGCGAGCUCGCGUCUGUUUUGAUGCGUAAAACUCAUCAAGAUCUACUGGAUGAACACACAUCCAGGUAAAGACCCUUCAGUUACUCUGAAACACCUGGGCUCAAGUUAUGAUUUGCCACGUGCUGGCUCUAAUGGUGCAGCUAAUUGCUCAGGUUGUUUAGCUGUGAGGAAUGCUGUAGAGGAGUGCGUGCGCAGGGCUGCUCCCUUUGCUUGAUCGCCAAGAGCACAUCAUAAUGGGCGGAGGGGAAGAGAAAGAAGAGGAUUUCUUUCUCCCACCAAAUUGUAGCCAAUUUAAGGACAAAGCGCUACCCUCUAGUUCGUCAGAGUAGGAGUCUCACUCAUAAAAGAAGACUGACAGUCGGGCAUCCAAAUCUCAUUCAAGGACGCAAUUUCCAAAUGCUAAUCAUAAUCUGCAGAUGUUGGCCACUGAUACAUGCGCUUAUUUAUUUAUUUCCUAGGCGCGUCUGUGCCCAUUUGGACGGCUUGUGAUAUCUGAAACAAAGAAGGGGAAAAUCCCUCCUUUUUGAGGCGCGCGGACAUCUGCACCGCCGGUGGAGGGACCGCGCACGCCGGCCGGCGCCGGAGCGCGUGCACGCACACGGGAAGUGCUGGACACGUGCACGCACACACACACAGACACACACGUGCAACGCCGAACCCCUUCCUCCUUUUCUACUCUCCCCUUCUCUUCGGGUCGUUUUAGAGUAGCUCAGAUGUGUCAUCAGACAUUGGUUUGCAUCUGAACCUGAGGGAAAAAAGAAAUACUUGACAGAAAGGUAUAUAAAAAGAGGACACUCUGAAUUUUUGACAUUCUUCGCACAGCUGCUUCAAAAUGAGUAGGAUGGAGAGGUAAGGGAAAAGCAACUCCAAGACACGGUUUUGUUUAUUUGCUGCCUUUUCUCCCUUCCCUCUUUCAGGGAGAUGGAGGCUAGCGCGAGGCCACAACUCACUCAUCCUUGUAUAGAGGGACUCAGGCGCAGGGCCGUGAAAGAGAAAUAGGCACGGCUAAAUGAAUUCUGGGAUCUGUUCUAUUCAGCCCAACUCAAAAAGGAUAACCCUUUUAUCCAUUUAGAUACCAAAUGCAAGGUGAAACCCAACUCAACUUGUCAGCUAGGUGACAUUAAAUACACGGCUUCCUUUGAUGGUUGUAUUCUCUCCCGGGAGUGAGAAAAAGAAGUUGCCCCACUACAAAUGGAUGUAAUGGCUUCGGUGCCUCCACCCACCCUCUUUCCAGUCAGCAGCAGACUGUGAGCGAGGCAGACUCUGCACGUCUGGCCGCCAAAACACUCAACAUGCCACAGCACUCCGGCUGGGUGCUGAAAGCGGGUGCCGCAGUUAGAAGCGCUUGGCGAAGGCAAACAGGGGGUUCAGGUAUCCAGCCACACUCGCCUUUCCCACAGCCAACGCACACGGAUGUGCGAGCAGUGACGAUGAGGAGGCUGGAGCCCUGCUUAAAUAGAGGAUGUCGUUCCCACGGAUACGCUGCGGACCAGAACCUGGCUGAUGUCACAUCAUUCAGCCUCAAGAUCGCAGAUUCCAAGAUACCCGAGAUCCAGUGUCCGGCAGAUACGCCUGGCAAACGGGAAGCACUCGGAGACAUCGGCGGAUGGGACGAGGCGAUAACGUUCCGAAAGCGGUGCCACCUAAAUUAACCUGAUUCUAAUAGGAAUCCAGAUAAGGUGGGAAAUGAAAGGUUUCUUUUCAAAGCAGUACACAACAUGGAAGCGCUAAGCAAUUGAUUUCCAUUUCCUCCCUGGAUGCACCCCCUCCCCUCCCCUCGUCAACCCCCCCCCCAUCAGCGCAUAUUCAUAAUUCGAGAUGAGGCGAUACCGCGUUAAUAUUCUCUAUCUUAUCUUGUCACAUCCUGAAAAUUGUUGGAGAGGACACGAUUAGCCGAACAAUGGCAUGAGAAAUGCACUUCAUGAAAGCCAUCCAGGUUUCGGUGACAAAGAGAGCGGCGAGGGGGUGGAGGGCGGAGGGGCCGAGGAGCCGGGCACGGCGGCGGGCCAGCGCCCUCGUCUCUGGAUCUCGAUUCGUCACGCCGCGGCGUUUACAAGAGGCCGUCGGCGGCCGGCGGCGCACGAUUAGCAUUUUAUCAUUGUUUACGGGCCGCUCAGGAAGCGGCGGGGCGGCCUCCAGCCAAGGGGGCUCCGGAGCGCCGUGUUCUUGGACCGCUUAAAUGCACCAUUAAGCCUUUUAAAAUGAGCUCCACCCGUCGGAGGCUAAAAACAAACGUGGCUUUCUAGCUAUCAAUGGGCACCACUUAGAAGAAACAAUGCCCUGUUGAAGCCCACCAGUUUCCUCAUCAAUAAACAUCAAAGAUGAAUGAGCCCUGGCUGACAGCUUUGUUUCUGACUCUGAUACCCACAAAGCCCUUCUCAACAUCAUCCCGGGCUUGUUCCUCUGGGCAGCCCGAACAGGUGCUACCCCUCUCCUCAAUGCGCUGUUUGACAAGGCCGCGGACGGGCAGGGGUGGCGGGGGGCUUUGCUUCACAUCCUCCUUAAUCCGUCCCACUAUAAAAACACUUUGAAAAACAACAAACGUUUGUUUGGCCAAAGUCAAAGCCCUGGAGCCUGGGGCUCAUCCGUCUGUCUGCCCGGGCUUUCGCCCUUUCAUUCCUGCCCGCUUUUCUUUUUUUGUCUAGGUUUCAACCCAUCCCUGCUCAUUUGGACAGGACAUUAAACAAGACCCGAGAGGAUCUGAUUCCCUGCCAUUUCCCACAAGAGGAAUACAUGCAGUAACAACAGCCAAUCGCUUGGAUUAUGAUAACAGCGGCGGGUGAAAAAGAAAGCGCCGGGAGAGGGAGGGGGAGAAAAAGUCGGACAAUCUCACAGCCCAAAACAUCCAGUAAUGAGAAAACAACUGGCAGCAUCAAACGACACGAGCACGAGAAAAUGAAAUUCGAAGAAAAGAUGUGUUGCUUUGAACUUGUUAAUUGUGAGCCAGCCUUGGCUUCUGAGGGCACCGAGACGACCCCUGGUGGGAUCCGCAAUCUCCACUCGCAGGCUGGUUUUUGGGGCCAGAUUUGGAGAACCCACUGUUCACAAAUAUCUCCAGUGGUUUGAAUAGAACAGGAAGAAAACCGUCUAAGGUAUCAGACAGCACUGAAACUAAAUUCUAUUGGAAUUAUUAUUGAAUUAUUUUAUUUGUUUAUUUUAUUUGGAUUUUAUUUUAUUUCCUAAUAUUAUUAUUGGUUUAAUACAAACAAUUGUGUAAAAAAUGUAAAGCCACUGGGUGGAAUAAACACAAUAAACACAAAGUGGAUGUUUUCAGUUUGAGGCUCUGUGCAGCAGCUCAUUGUGCUGCUGUGGCUGCUCUCCAUGCCAGAAAGCCAGCAGCCCUGUGUGGACUUGUCCUAUCUGAUCCCGUUCAUCCUGAAGUUUCUCAAUGGUCAGAUAUAAAUUUCAAAAUGUGCUCCAAGAGUGGGCUCUCGUCAGGAAACAGGGAUGGGGACCCGCGCGAUGGUCCACCCCAACACCUUAAUGUGGUUUAACAGGAUACAUUAGCUUUUAAUGGCACUUAAUUGUACAAAAAGGAAAUCCAUAACCACAUAAGGAGAAAAGUCAAGUAUUUCCAAGCUCUUUAUAAGAACAAUUUAGAGCAUACAAGUGCUUUUCAAACCUUGGAUUGGAAUCGGCCAGACAGCCGGCCAUUAGAAGGCUGCGCCUGACAUUUGUGAGGCUACAGCGCCACCAUUCGGUCGUGAACGCACCCUUCGCCUCGCAGCCAAACCCUGGCAAUUGUCAAUUCCAGGGCUGUGUAAAAAGAAUAAAUUAUGUAUGUUUAUGCUUUGGAAAUCCCAUUUUGAAAUAAAUGAUCUCAUUUGAAAAAUAAUGUCACAGUCGCCGCUGUAAUUGUCUACACUCUGCACUGAACUGUAGCUUUGGGCUCUGCCGCCGACUAUAAAGUUGAAUUGUCUUAGUCUGUGAGGCCUCAUUUAAAAAAAAGAAAAAAAAGGAGCAGGACCUAAAAUGCGUCCAGGUGCAGUAUUAAGAGACGCACAAAAAUAUCCCGGUGUGUUGUUUUUGUUGUUGUUGAUAGAUUAUUGUAGGUCCAUGCCAUCUUAGAUAAUGAGCAAUAACCUGCACUUCAAGAACAGGGGAGGUUUGCCAAGAAGGAAUGGUGAUUACAAUCAAUUAGGACUGAUGACAAAGCACCAACAAUAACCCUGCGUGUGUGUGUGUGUGUGUGUGUGUGUGUGUGUGUGUGUGUGUGUGUGUGUGUGUGAGCUGGGUUUUAUUCACGCAUCCUUCCAAACUACCCUGUUUUGUGUAAUCAACAUCUGUUGUGACAGGCAUCCUCCUCCUUUCUCAGAAUGGCCCACUUCAGAUAAUGAGUGUCAUACCAAACUGCAGGGCAAAGGCUGAUUUUACUCCUUGCUUUUUUUUCUUUUUUUUUUUUUUUUACUCCUCCUCUUUGGUCUCCACUCUCACUACCCCUCUGUUCCUUCCCCUAUCAUUCAAGACAUCCUUUGUGGAGAACCUUGAAAAACAGAGACAAACGCUGGUUCCGCAUUGUCACCGCUCAACAUGUGGGAGUGGUGGGUGAAGUAGAACGGAUCAUUUAUUGAGAGUAGAAUCCUUCACAACCGACACGUAAACACGGACAUCCUUGUGAAUGCCUUUAUUUUACUUUCAGAAUAUAGUCGUUGAAAUGAAACCCGCUCCUCCUUACAUUCACCUUGAUAUUUCCUCUUUCUGUUGUUCUGAAUAAAUUAACCCGCUUUUAUUUACUGAAACAGCUGCUGUUCAUGGAGCAGUGAGGGGUUUUUAUUCAUGAAAACAAAACGGACUCAGUAAUUUGUGUAGUCUGUGCUGGUAUUUCCUCGAUGACACUUAUUGCUAUGCCUGUGUUUAAAGCGCCAUCUGCUGGCGACUUUUGUCACUGCAGAUAAAAUGGCUUAAAAGACUGUCUAGUGGCUUCUGUGCCCAAUAUCUAGUCAAUAUAUGCCUUUUUUUGAUUUUCUAAUACUACUUAGUUUUACACAGUCUUUAUUGUAUAAGAGGUAAUAUUGACAAAACAAGAUUAUCUAAAUCUACAAGAAUUUUUUAGCCACAAUUUGUACUAUUACAGUAUAAGUAGAGUACUUCUAUAGGCUCUAAGCUCAGUCGUCAGUGAACUGUGUCUAAGAAGCACAAGUAAAAUAAUUUUCCCAGCUUAGCUUCAAAAUUAAUUGCUUCCCAAAUAAGACAGAUAGGUUCAGAUAUGCGAAUGUGUGUGUGAUUGCACAGAAUGCUAGGUUUUUUUUAGGUUGAUUAGCAGAUGCAUCCAAUUUGACCAAACUGAAGAUUCAACUCAUAAACUCAUUUCCAAGAUGGCAUUCACUGUCUGCACAGCCGAGUAGAAAAAAAAAUCUGAAAAUCCAUUAAUAUUGCGAGCACACUGAACUCUGUUCAAGCAUAACCUAAGUUUGACUGCAGGAGAGCUCUUUGAUUCAAACACUCCCUUGUAUUUGUGUAUUCAUUCACUAAAGCCUUCAGUUUAAAGUGUCAAGUGGCAACAACUUGAAUCAGCAGGAAAGCCGUUUUACCUUUUUUCUCUUUGUAAGUGGGACUGUAGUGGGGUGUUAAUAUCAAGAUAUAUUCUACAGGUCUCUUUAAUGUGAAAGUUAGGUUUGCUGGUUCAUGCAUAAGUGCAAUUUAGCUACAAUGGCACAUUUUACUACAAGUACAGUACAAUCAAUAACCCUAACAGUUGCCCUUCACCACGUUAAAUGUCCCAGUAUGACACUACGUGCAAUAAAUAUUACAGCCCUAGAAAAUUAAAUGAACAACACUGUGAUUUGAUAAUCAGAGGAUUACAAUGAAACUGUUGCUUGUCUUAUGUGACUGAGUUUGCACAUUUACUCAUUUAAGAAUAUAUCAUUUUUACUCGACAUUUACUGCUACUAUAUCAGUGUCAGCCCUCGUAUCAGAGUUAGUAGGAACAUAAAAUCAAUUCUCAAGUUACAAUGCAAAUUAUAACUCUAAAUGGUUGAUUGAGCUUGAAUUGCUGAAGUAAAAGUGUAUGAUAAUACAGACAUGAUCAUUCAUUUUAAUCAGCUUUGACUUUGUUGCUGGUAAUAAUAGUGAUGUACAAGUGUAGUAAAAUUAUGAGGAUGAAAGACAAACACACCAGGUGGUAAUACCUAAUAUGUCAUCA